Long non-coding RNA from Hemicordylus capensis (graceful crag lizard), 1199 nucleotides. RefSeq lists it as uncharacterized. The transcript has 3 exons. Lineage: Eukaryota; Metazoa; Chordata; Lepidosauria; Squamata; Cordylidae. The record is from RefSeq and is a predicted model, not a curated record.
UGCCCCCUGCCCAGCCCCAUGUCCCCUCAGCCUCUUGCCCUCUUUGCCCUCCUCUCUCCUGCUUGUCCUCCUGGCCGGCAAUCGAAGCAGCAGGGAAAGCUGCAAAGAGCUCCUUUUCUCCCGGCCUCUCGGCUGAUUGGCGGGUGGGCGGGGCUUCCAGGGAGGCCUCCGUGUAGGCCUCAGUGGAGCCUGAACUGGAGUCGGCUUGCAGGGAGGCCCCAAGCAAGGAAGGCAGGCAGGAGGCAGGGAGGCAGAGUGGCCCCCACAGCUCUCUGCAGCAGACCCUCUGCCCAGCCCAGCAUCUGCCAGGAAGCUUUUAUUGUUGUGCUGUUGUGAGCCACCUCAAUAACAAGUCAAAAUUGGUUGAGGCUGCCUAACCGUAUCUUGGAAGAAAAGGCGCGCUUGUCAGUUGCUUUGAGGAAUGAACGACAGACUGAAUGAGACAUCGUCUUGUGGGGGUCUUGUGGAGAGAAAGGCUUUCAUGGCCUCCUCUCAGUCAGGCCGUGAAAUCUGCCUAUCGGGGAAAGGCUUGGCUUUCUCAAACUUCUCAGAUCUCCUUGAGAAACAAUGGGGGCGGACCAGCAGCCGACGAGCCUCCUACCAAGGAGCAGUCUACCUUGAGCCGGGAAAGAGUUCAGAGCCGGCUCCUUAGCUUCGUCAGCUGCCGCCUCAGCCCCUUGACUGUACUCUGUGCCUCCUUGAUGCUGGCAAGGUCUUUCUCGCCUGAAAGGAGAGGAAAGAGACCCUGAGAAGGGAGGGGCCUCUCUGCCCCCAGGCCAGGCCCUGCGCUGACCUCCGGGCCCCUCCCAGACUCUGCCGGGACCCUCACUUGCUGUCUCUCCUUCCAAGGUCCCUCCUAGUGGCCAGGAGGGUGGUUGGUGCAAAAGGCCGAUGCACUGGAACUCCACCUCCAACCAUCAGGAGGGCUGUUCUCAGCACAGCCGCCUGGUCUGCUUCCUGGUGAUCAGAGCCUGCUCUCCCUCCAAGGAGUUCAGCUUUUUAUCCUCCCCAGAACCCUGAGAGGCAGCUUAGGCUGUGCAAUGAAGAGCCAGCAGCCAGCAAGUUUGGUGGCUGCACGGGGAUUCGAACCCAAGUCCCUCUGGUCCUAAGGCUGGGGAACGGACCUGAUGCCUGCUCUCCCCCACUUAUCUGCUGCACACAUUUCUCCCUGCUUCCUGUCGCCAUUUUUGGACUCUAAG